CGCGUGUGUGAAGAAGGCCUUCGGGUUGUAAAGCACUUUCAGUGAGGAAGAAAGCCUUGAGGCUAAUACCCUUGAGGGAGGACAUCACUCACAGAAGAAGCACCGGCUAACUCCGUGCCAGCAGCCGCGGUAAUACGGAGGGUGCGAGCGUUAAUCGGAAUUACUGGGCGUAAAGCGCGCGUAGGCGGCUUGAUAAGCCGGUUGUGAAAGCCCCGGGCUCAACCUGGGAACGGCAUCCGGAACUGUCAGGCUAGAGUGCAGGAGAGGAAGGUAGAAUUCCCGGUGUAGCGGUGAAAUGCGUAGAGAUCGGGAGGAAUACCAGUGGCGAAGGCGGCCUUCUGGACUGACACUGACGCUGAGGUGCGAAAGCGUGGGUAGCAAACAGGAUUAGAUACCCUGGUAGUCCACGCCGUAAACGAUGUCGACUAGCCGUUGGGCUCCUUGAGAGCUUUGUGGCGCAGUUAACGCGAUAAGUCGACCGCCUGGGGAGUACGGCCGCAAGGUUAAAACUCAAAUGAAUUGACGGGGGCCCGCACAAGCGGUGGAGCAUGUGGUUUAAUUCGAUGCAACGCGAAGAACCUUACCUACCCUUGACAUCGAGAGAACUUUCCAGAGAUGGAUUGGUGCCUUCGGGAACUCUCAGACAGGUGCUGCAUGGCUGUCGUCAGCUCGUGUUGUGAAAUGUUGGGUUAAGUCCCGUAACGAGCGCAACCC
Molecule: ribosomal RNA, 714 nt
Filed under: Halomonas sp. 22CO-3
Lineage: Bacteria; Pseudomonadati; Pseudomonadota; Gammaproteobacteria; Oceanospirillales; Halomonadaceae
Description: bacterial SSU rRNA
Rfam family: Bacterial small subunit ribosomal RNA
Source: RNAcentral